AUGAACGCUGGCGGCGUGCCUAACACAUGCAAGUCGAGCGGAGGUGUGGAGUAGUUUACUAUGAAGCAUCUUAGCGGCGGACGGGUGAGUAACGCGUGGGCAACCUGCCCUAUGCAGGGGGAUAACAUAUCGAAAGGUGUGCUAAAACCGCAUAAAGCUUAAGAAUCGCAUGAUUUUCAAGCCAAAGAUUUAUCGGCAUAGGAUGGGCCCGCGUCUGGAUUAGCUAGUUGGUGAGGUAAAGGCUCACCAAGGCGACGAUCAGUAGCCG
This 268-nucleotide ribosomal RNA is filed under the name uncultured bacterium. RNAcentral describes it as "partial 16S ribosomal RNA". It matches the Rfam family "Bacterial small subunit ribosomal RNA", at positions 29 to 289 of the family's 1533-position model. The record is from RNAcentral.